Molecule: ribosomal RNA, 468 nt
Filed under: uncultured bacterium
Lineage: Bacteria
Description: partial 16S ribosomal RNA
Rfam family: Bacterial small subunit ribosomal RNA
Source: RNAcentral
GACGAACGCUGGCGGCGUGCUUAACACAUGCAAGUCGAACGGAAAGGCCCUGCUUUUGUGGGGUGCUCGAGUGGCGAACGGGUGAGUAACACGUGAGUAACCUGCCCUUGACUUUGGGAUAACUUCAGGAAACUGGGGCUAAUACCGGAUAGGAGCUCCUGCUGCAUGGUGGGGGUUGGAAAGUUUCGGCGGUUGGGGAUGGACUCGCGGCUUAUCAGCUUGUUGGUGGGGUAGUGGCUUACCAAGGCUUUGACGGGUAGCCGGCCUGAGAGGGUGGCCGGCCACCUUGGGACUGAGAUACGGCCCAGACUGCUACGGUAGGCAGCGGUGGGGAAUAUUGCACAAUGGGCGGAAGCCUGAUGCAGCAACGCCGCGUGCGGGAUGACGGCCUUCGGGUUGUAAACCGCUUUCGCCUGUGACGAAGCGUGAGUGACGGUAAUGGGUAAAGAAGCACCGGCUAACUACGUG